GCACUCCAGCAAAAUCCUGCCCUUCUGUUUCAGUGGUGGGCUGGAGUAAACAUGGUGCCAUAGUAAUUCAAAGUAAAUCCAGAUGGGCUUCCCUCUUCAGUAGGGGCUUGUCUCUACAACUUUGACACAAUU
This is a small nucleolar RNA of Scleropages formosus (Asian bonytongue), 132 nucleotides long. Ensembl annotates it as small nucleolar RNA SNORA55. The record is from Ensembl. NCBI's taxonomy places the organism in Eukaryota, Metazoa, Chordata, Actinopteri, Osteoglossiformes, Osteoglossidae.